AGAGUUUGAUCAUGGCUCAGGACGAACGCUGGCGGCGUGCCUAACACAUGCAAGUCGAACGCCCUCGACCUUCGGGUCACAUGAGGGAGUGGCGAACGGGUGAGUAACACGUGAGAAACCUACCCCGAAGACCGGGAUAACCAUUGGAAACGAUGGCUAAUACCGGAUACCUUCUUUUCACCGCAUGGUGAUUUGAAGAAAUGUUUUUUCGCUUCGGGAGGGUCUCGCGACCUAUCAGUUAGUUGGUGAGGUAAUGGCUCACCAAGACAUCGACGGGUAGCUGGUCUGAGAGGACGAUCAGCCACACUGGGACUGAGACACGGCCCAGACUCCUACGGGAGGCAGCAGUGGGGAAUAUUGCGCAAUGGGCGAAAGCCUGACGCAGCAACGCCGCGUGCGGGAUGAAGGCCUUCGGGUUGUAAACCGCUUUCAGCAGGGACGAAAAUGACGGUACCUGCAGAAGAAGCUCCGGCUAACUACGUGCCAGCAGCCGCGGUAAUACGUAGGGAGCAAGCGUUGUCCGGAUUUAUUGGGCGUAAAGGGCUCGUAGGUGGUUCGGUAAGUCGGAUGUGAAAAAUCUGGGCUCAACCCAGUCAAGCAUCCGAUACUGCUGUGACUAGAGUUCGGUAGAGGAGUGUGGAAUUCCUGGUGUAGCGGUGGAAUGCGCAGAUAUCAGGAGGAACACCAACAGCGAAGGCAGCGCUCUGGGCCGAUACUGACACUGAGGAGCGAAAGCAUGGGGAGCAAACAGGAUUAGAUACCCUGGUAGUCCAUGCCGUAAACGUUGGGCACUAGGUGUGGGGAGGAUUCAACCCUUUCCGCGCCGUAGCUAACGCAUUAAGUGCCCCGCCUGGGGAGUACGGCCGCAAGGCUAAAACUCAAAGGAAUUGACGGG
RNAcentral lists this ribosomal RNA (895 nucleotides) under uncultured bacterium. RNAcentral describes it as "bacterial SSU rRNA". It matches the Rfam family "Bacterial small subunit ribosomal RNA", at positions 8 to 917 of the family's 1533-position model. The record is from RNAcentral.